GGCACCGUAGCUCAGUCGGUUAGAGCGGGCGUUUCAUAAGCGCUAGGUCAGAGGUUCGAAUCCUCUCGGUGCCA
Molecule: transfer RNA, 74 nt
Filed under: Elusimicrobiota bacterium
Lineage: Bacteria; Pseudomonadati; Elusimicrobiota
Description: Elusimicrobia bacterium (anaerobic digester metagenome) tRNA-Met
Rfam family: tRNA
About the family: Transfer RNA (tRNA) molecules are approximately 80 nucleotides in length. Their secondary structure includes four short double-helical elements and three loops (D, anti-codon, and T loops). Further hydrogen bonds mediate the characteristic L-shaped molecular structure. tRNAs have two regions of fundamental functional importance: the anti-codon, which is responsible for specific mRNA codon recognition, and the 3' end, to which the tRNAs corresponding amino acid is attached (by aminoacyl-tRNA synthetases). tRNAs cope with the degeneracy of the genetic code in two manners: having more than one tRNA (with a specific anti-codon) for a particular amino acid; and 'wobble' base-pairing, i.e. permitting non-standard base-pairing at the 3rd anti-codon position.
Source: RNAcentral